This 426-nucleotide ribosomal RNA is filed under the name uncultured Paenibacillus sp. RNAcentral's name for it is "bacterial SSU rRNA". It matches the Rfam family "Bacterial small subunit ribosomal RNA", at positions 355 to 774 of the family's 1533-position model. The record is from RNAcentral. Lineage: Bacteria; Bacillati; Bacillota; Bacilli; Caryophanales; Paenibacillaceae.
UAGGGAAUCUUCCGCAAUGGACGAAAGUCUGACGGAGCAACGCCGCGUGAGUGAUGAAGGUUUUCGGAUCGUAAAGCUCUGUUGCCAGGGAAGAACGUCUUGGAGAGUAACUGCUCUAAGAGUGACGGUACCUGAGAAGAAAGCCCCGGCUAACUACGUGCCAGCAGCCGCGGUAAUACGUAGGGGGCGAGCGUUGUCCGGAAUUAUUGGGCGUAAAGCGCGCGCAGGCGGCUGUUUAAGUCUGGUGUUUAAUCCUGGGGCUCAACCCCGGGUCGCACUGGAAACUGGACGGCUUGAGUGCAGAAGAGGAGAGUGGAAUUCCACGUGUAGCGGUGAAAUGCGUAGAGAUGUGGAGGAACACCAGUGGCGAAGGCGACUCUCUGGGCUGUAACUGACGCUGAGGCGCGAAAGCGUGGGGAGCAAACA